GUGACACAUGGCGAUAUCAAGUAGAGGGGCUUCCACUCGUAGUCACCAUGGCCAACAGAGAUGUGUUUGUGAAAAAUGCAGUUCUAUACCAUACUGUUGUGCAACGGCAGAGCUGUCUUGAUCAACUCAUUGAUGGCUUGUCCCACUAUGGAGUUUUAUCACUCCUGAGAGAGAACCCCAGCUUGCGUGUGCUGCUUGACAUACCAGGAGAGGACAAAGGUCAAGAAGCUGAUUUUGUAGCUGGUAUUCUCAAACCAAGCUACUCCGUACUGGGGAGCAAC
Molecule: long non-coding RNA, 281 nt
Organism: Sander lucioperca (pikeperch)
Lineage: Eukaryota; Metazoa; Chordata; Actinopteri; Perciformes; Percidae
Exons: 2
Source: RefSeq, a predicted model, not a curated record